CAGACUUUUCUGCGUUUUCAGUUGUUCCAGGCUCUAGUCACAUCUCAGUUAUGUGCAAUAAUAGUCAUUGUGGAGUUGCUGCAAAUCAAAAUUUCCCAGGUAAUACCAAGUCUCAUUUAACUUCCAGAGCCAUCCAUCACCAAACAUUUUAUUGGAGAACCAAAAAGGGUGGAGUAGGGGAGCUGAGUGAAUUUCUGAGUCUGCUGGAGUUGAUAACUGUAAGUGUCAUGGCCCCAGUAUUACUAGCCAUAGAUAGAGAUAAUUUAAAAAAUCAUCCCUGUAACCCUAGGUACUGAUUAUCUAUUGCUACAUAGCAAGCCGCCUUGAAACACAUGGCUUAAAAUAACAAUUUAUUUUUAUAUCUCACAGUUCUGUGGCUUAACUGGUCUCAGCUUGGCAUCUCUCUUGUAGUUGAAGUCAAAUAGAGGCUAGGGCUACAUUCGUCUAAAGGUUCAGUUGAGUUGGAAUGUGGCAUGGCUGGCAGUUGAUGAUGACUGUUUCCUAGGAGUUCUGCUGGAGCUACAUGCCUGAACACCAACCAAUAACCUUUUCAUGUGGCUGAGACCUUUCAUAUGGCCACAGUCCUCAGAGACAGCAUCCCAAGAGUGAUCCUUUUAAGAGGCUCAGGUGCAAGGCUAGUCUAGCCUGCUGGACAAUGAGAGGCCUACGGAACAGGGCGGAGUCACCAUAUCCCACUGAAACUGGCCUAGGUUAGCCAACAGCCCACCUCUCCCAGGCACGUGAAAGCUCAGCGGACUCUGAACAGAUGGACAAUAAACAUUUACUGUGUUUGCCACAUAAGUUUUGUAUUUGUCAUUAUAAAGCAUUAUUGUGACAAUAGAGAAACUAACAUACUUUCUAAAGUGGAAUUUGAUCAUGUUGCUUAAAAAACUGUGACCGUCCAUACUAACUGCUCACCAAAUAGCCAUUAUGCCUUUUCUUUUUUCUCCUUAUAACAGAACUUGAUUUUGAUGGGGACAAAUUUU
Molecule: long non-coding RNA, 986 nt
Filed under: Homo sapiens (human)
Lineage: Eukaryota; Metazoa; Chordata; Mammalia; Primates; Hominidae
Description: HSALNT0052217
Source: RNAcentral